This 465-nucleotide ribosomal RNA is filed under the name uncultured bacterium. RNAcentral describes it as "partial 16S ribosomal RNA". It matches the Rfam family "Bacterial small subunit ribosomal RNA", at positions 28 to 507 of the family's 1533-position model. The record is from RNAcentral.
GACGAACGCUGGCGGCGUGCUUAACACAUGCCAGUCGAACGGAAAGGCCCCUUCGGGGGUACUCGAGUGGCGAACAGGUGAGUAACACGUGAGUAACCUGCCCUUGACUUCGGGAUAACUUCAGGAAACUGGGGCUAAUACCGGAUAGGAAUCCUUGCUGCAUGGUGGGGGUUGGAAAGCUUCGGCGGUUUUGGAUGGACUCGCGGCUUAUCAGCUUGUUGGUGGGGUAGUGGCUUACCAAGGCUUUGACGGGUAGCCGGCCUGAGAGGGCGACCGGCCACAUUGGGACUGAGAUACGGCCCAGACUCCUACGGGAGGCAGCAGUGGGGAAUAUUGCACAAUGGGCGGAAGCCUGAUGCAGCAACGCCGCGUGCGGGAUGACGGCCUUCGGGUUGGAAACCGCUUUCAGCAGGGGCGAAGCUUGUGGUGACGGUACCUGCAGAAGAAGCACCGGCUAACUACGUG